GCAACAGCAGCAAAUAUAAGUAUAUAUUCUCAGAUUGCGUGAAACAUUUCUAUUUUUUAAUUUUAUAAACAAACAAAUGAUACAGCAUCGUCAUAAGAAACUACAAAAGAUAUACACACGCAGGUUAUUAUAAAAAGUGACCAUGGACCAUUCUUUAUUUGGAAUGAAAAUUUGACUUUUAUAUCAACCUUGGUGGGAAAUAUUUUGACAGCUCGUGUAAGAUUUAACAAAGCAACAAAGUAUAUAUACAAUUAACUCAAAAUUAGAUUGUUUUUCGUAAUAUUCGUGUGACACUUUGCCUUUGUCUUUAAAAAUGAUUAAAUUCAUUGUUACAUUAUCAGUAGGAAUUUAUGCUGGAAUUUACAUCAGCCAAAAUUAUGAAGUGCCUCGUGUCGAUGAACCUAGUAAAAUAUUUGAAAGAAUAAAACAAUUUGCAGACGAUCAUAAAAAGAAAUAGAAUUGAAAUAUAGAAAAUUGUGUGAUGACCAGAUAUAUUGAAAUCCGAAUUGUAUGCAAAAUAAUUGUACAUAAAUAGCUUUUAAUUAUAUAUAUAAAUAAAUAAUUACGUUUUCUUUAUAAAUUUUUUUUUUGUAAAAUAAAAGACAAAUAAAAAUCUUGACUGGAAUAAAAAAGAAAUGUGAUAACAA
Molecule: long non-coding RNA, 647 nt
Organism: Leptopilina boulardi
Lineage: Eukaryota; Metazoa; Arthropoda; Insecta; Hymenoptera; Figitidae
Exons: 4
Source: RefSeq, a predicted model, not a curated record